CUUCUUUGAGGUACUACAUGUAACCCCGAUUAAAUUCUGAAGUGCUCUCUUGGACUGUUUUAACUCUGCAGUACUGGUGGUCCAACACUAGGGGGCGAUAUGUUUCUGAGAGACGCCCUUAAAGCUUCUAGCAGGAAGAACGUUUCCUACUCAGACCCCAGUGAGACAACGAGACGAAACGAGACGACACCGAAGGAGAAGUGGCUUUAAUGAAAGAUACUGCUGUACACAAUUCAGCACCUGUUAGAGAUACUUGAUUGUUUCAAGAUUUUCAAAAGUCCGAUUUUGAAGAUACCGUGGCUGGUUUUUUUCCACCCGUUCAGAGAGCGAGCCGUGCUCUGGAAGAUCAAAGCAGGAUCCGCGCUGUUGCUGUGGCCUCACCUGUUUUCCUGGAUGCACUGCUCCCCACCGGAAGGAGGUUAAGCUGGAUUUUCCAUUCCUAGGAUCUCCCAAGUAACUUUUCUGUUCUCGUUUCAAUUGCGCAUUUUUUUCUUCCUCCACCGCUGGAGAUUACCCCCCCUAUUUUUUCCCCCUGAGAUCUCAGAGUUUAAAGACUACUUUUUUUUUUGGACAUUUAUUGCGAAUUAGUGUUGGAUCCAACAUAGAGUCGUUGAGGGUUGAUUCGGAAUCUGUUAUUGUUUCUUGUGUGAUUAUUAUGAAGAAAUGUUGAGAUUUAUUGUUUACCUUUUUUUAUGUGUACCUGAUAUUUUUUUAAUUUAAUACAGAUUCUUUAUUUUACAUUUAAACUUGUGUUGAGUGUGUCAUUGUGGGUUGGAAGGGUGUACUAAGUCAGUAUUAAAUACAGCAUUCCUCCUUCACGAACUUAGCGAAUAAACAUAAAUUCUUUGAGCAUAAGUAGCCUCCUACCUAGCGUACAGGUACGCAGAGUUACA
Molecule: long non-coding RNA, 893 nt
Organism: Oryzias melastigma (Indian medaka)
Lineage: Eukaryota; Metazoa; Chordata; Actinopteri; Beloniformes; Adrianichthyidae
Exons: 2
Source: RefSeq, a predicted model, not a curated record